Molecule: transfer RNA, 75 nt
Filed under: Candidatus Pacearchaeota archaeon
Lineage: Archaea; Nanobdellati
Also listed under: 1 other name
Description: tRNA-Asn
Rfam family: tRNA
About the family: Transfer RNA (tRNA) molecules are approximately 80 nucleotides in length. Their secondary structure includes four short double-helical elements and three loops (D, anti-codon, and T loops).
Source: RNAcentral
GUCCUUGUAGCUCAGCCCGGUUAGAGCGCACGGCUGUUAACCGUGAAGUCGGAGGUUCAAAUCCUCCCAAGGACG